UGGGGAAUUUUGGACAAUGGACGAAAGUCUGAUCCAGCAAUUCUGCGUGCGAGAUGAAGCAUUACGGUGUGUAAAUCGCUUUUUGAGGGAGAACGAAUGAUAGUACCUCAAGAAUAAGUGACGGCUAACUCUGUGCCAGCAGCCGCGGUAAUACAGAGGUCACAAGCGUUAUCCGGAGUUACUGGGCGUAAAGAGUCUGUAGCUUGUUUUGUAAGUCUUGAUUCAAAAACCUGGAUUCAAUCGAGGGGAG
RNAcentral lists this ribosomal RNA (250 nucleotides) under uncultured bacterium. RNAcentral's name for it is "partial 16S ribosomal RNA". It matches the Rfam family "Bacterial small subunit ribosomal RNA", at positions 355 to 622 of the family's 1533-position model. The record is from RNAcentral.